RNAcentral lists this ribosomal RNA (845 nucleotides) under Lactiplantibacillus plantarum. RNAcentral's name for it is "bacterial SSU rRNA". It matches the Rfam family "Bacterial small subunit ribosomal RNA", at positions 31 to 841 of the family's 1533-position model. Lineage: Bacteria; Bacillati; Bacillota; Bacilli; Lactobacillales; Lactobacillaceae. The record is from RNAcentral.
CCAGGCAUGGGGCGGCCUAAUAAUGCAAGUCGAACGAACUCUGGUAUUGAUUGGUGCUUGCAUCAUGAUUUACAUUUCCAGUGAGUGGCGAACUGGUGAGUAACACGUGGGAAACCUGCCCAGAAGCGGGGGAUAACACCUGGAAACAGAUGCUAAUACCGCAUAACAACUUGGACCGCAUGGUCCGAGCUUGAAAGAUGGCUUCGGCUAUCACUUUUGGAUGGUCCCGCGGCGUAUUAGCUAGAUGGUGGGGUAACGGCUCACCAUGGCAAUGAUACGUAGCCGACCUGAGAGGGCAAUCGGCCACAUUGGGACUGAGACACGGCCCAAACUCCUACGGGAGGCAGCAGUAGGGAAUCUUCCACAAUGGACGAAAGUCUGAUGGAGCAACGCCGCGUGAGUGAAGAAGGGUUUCGGCUCGUAAAACUCUGUUGUUAAAGAAGAACAUAUCUGAGAGUAACUGUUCAGGUAUUGACGGUAUUUAACCAGAAAGCCACGGCUAACUACGUGCCAGCAGCCGCGGUAAUACGUAGGUGGCAAGCGUUGUCCGGAUUUAUUGGGCGUAAAGCGAGCGCAGGCGGUUUUUUAAGUCUGAUGUGAAAGCCUUCGGCUCAACCGAAGAAGUGCAUCGGAAACUGGGAAACUUGAGUGCAGAAGAGGACAGUGGAACUCCAUGUGUAGCGGUGAAAUGCGUAGAUAUAUGGAAGAACACCAGUGGCGAAGGCGGCUGUCUGGUCUGUAACUGACGCUGAGGCUCGAAAGUAUGGGUAGCAAACAGGAUUAGAUACCCUGGUAGUCCAUACCGUAAACGAUGAAUGCUAAGUGUUGGAGGGUUUCCGCCCUUC